UACGUAGGGAGCAAGCGUUGUCCGGAUUUACUGGGUGUAAAGGGUGCGUAGGCGGCUUUGCAAGUCAGAUGUGAAAUCUAUGGGCUCAACCCAUAAACUGCAUUUGAAACUGUAGAGCUUGAGUGAAGUAGAGGCAGGCGGAAUUCCCCGUGUAGCGGUGAAAUGCGUAGAGAUGGGGAGGAACACCAGUGGCGAAGGCGGUCUGCUGGGCUUUAACUGACGCUGAGGCACGAAAGCGUGGGUAGCAAACAGG
Molecule: ribosomal RNA, 253 nt
Filed under: Ruminococcus bromii
Lineage: Bacteria; Bacillati; Bacillota; Clostridia; Eubacteriales; Oscillospiraceae
Description: partial 16S ribosomal RNA
Rfam family: Bacterial small subunit ribosomal RNA
Source: RNAcentral